ACAGUCUAGUUUCUCUUCAGAUCGUAUAAAUUUUUCACCUUUUACUAAAGAUUUCUGUGGAGAGGAACAGGCAUGAGUGUCAAGGAAUUAUUCUGAGGCUCCGCCUUGGUGGGGCU
Small nuclear RNA from Grus americana (Whooping crane), 116 nucleotides. RefSeq annotates it as U5 spliceosomal RNA. The record is from RefSeq and is a predicted model, not a curated record. The transcript has a single exon. Lineage: Eukaryota; Metazoa; Chordata; Aves; Gruiformes; Gruidae.